This 225-nucleotide unclassified non-coding RNA is filed under the name plant metagenome. RNAcentral describes it as "partial contains small subunit ribosomal RNA, internal transcribed spacer 1, and 5.8S ribosomal RNA". The record is from RNAcentral.
UCUCCGUUGGUGAACCAGCGGAGGGAUCAUUACAGGACUCGCAAGACUCCUACAACCCUGUGAACUUAACUAUAAGCACGUUGCUUCGGCGGGUGUCUCGGAGGGGGUUUUCCCUCCCCGAGACGCUAAACCCGCCGGCAGCCUACUAUACUCUGUCUCUUUGCGUUGGCAUCUCGAGUACAAUCAAACAAGUUAAAACUUUCAACAACGGAUCUCUUGGUUCUG